RNAcentral lists this unclassified non-coding RNA (255 nucleotides) under Hevea brasiliensis (rubber tree). The record is from RNAcentral. Lineage: Eukaryota; Viridiplantae; Streptophyta; Magnoliopsida; Malpighiales; Euphorbiaceae.
GAAUAAUCAAGGUGGACAACAAUACAAAAAUAUUGAUUCCACCUUGUAAACUUGGCAAGUUCCCUUUCGCUUGGUAACCUUUGGGUGUUGCCUUCAAAUCCAAAGGUGUGAGCAAUAAAGUGAUAACAAGGGUGAGCAUUAGAGUGAUUGGAUUUGCAGAAAGGAAAUAAUUAAGAAAGUUGGGAAUCUUAAAAAAUUUAGAUUACAAUUAUAAAGAACACUUUAUCCAGUCUCCCUACUCACUUAAAUCCUUUU